CCGAGCCAAGCCGAGUUAAGCCGAGUUGUGAGCCGAGGCCAAGCCGAGCCGAGCCGAGAGUGAGCCGAGCCGUGAGCCGAGACCAAGCCGAGCCGAGCCGAGAGUGAGCCGAGCCGAGCCGAGCCACCUAAGCCUUCCUCCCUCCACUUCGGGUCACGGUAGUAAGGAGUUGACGCUUAAGUUCUCGGAUCUCGCGGCAGGCUUGUUUGGAGAUAGCUUUCCUUUCCUUGGGUUGAUCCGUUGAGCGUGGAUUCGAUCGAGGGGCAUAACCGAGUAUUCAGGUAAGGGUU
Molecule: long non-coding RNA, 290 nt
Organism: Cucumis melo (muskmelon)
Lineage: Eukaryota; Viridiplantae; Streptophyta; Magnoliopsida; Cucurbitales; Cucurbitaceae
Exons: 3
Source: RefSeq, a predicted model, not a curated record